UACCCUUUCAUGAUGAAUUAUUGCGGAUGUAAACUUUUUGUCACGUCGGAAAGCGCAAAACCAUGUCGAGAUUUCCGUUGCCUUCCUUCUGAUCUAUCAAGGGA
This is a non-coding RNA of Trichoderma gamsii, 104 nucleotides long. NCBI's taxonomy places the organism in Eukaryota, Fungi, Ascomycota, Sordariomycetes, Hypocreales, Hypocreaceae. The record is from Rfam.